GACGAACGCUGGCGGCGUGCCUAAUACAUGCAAGUAGAACGCACAGUUUAUACCGUAGCUUGCUACACCAUAGACUGUGAGUUGCGAACGGGUGAGUAACGCGUAGGUAACCUGCCUGGUAGCGGGGGAUAACUAUUGGAAACGAUAGCUAAUACCGCAUAAUAUUAAUUAUUGCAUGAUAAUUAAUUGAAAGGUGCAAUUGCACCACUACCAGAUGGACCUGCGUUGUAUUAGCUAGUAGGUGAGGUAACGGCACACCUAGGCGACGAUACAUAGCCGACCUGAGAGGGUGAUCGGCCACACUGGGACUGAGACACGGCCCAGACUCCUACGGGAGGCAGCAGUAGGGAAUCUUCGGCAAUGGACGAAAGUCUGACCGAGCAACGCCGCGUGAGUGAAGAAGGUUUUCGGAUCGUAAAGCUCUGUUGUAAGAGAAGAACGGGUGUGAGAGUGGAAAGUUCACACUGUGACGGUAUCUUACCAGAAAGGGACGGCUAACUACGUG
RNAcentral lists this ribosomal RNA (505 nucleotides) under uncultured bacterium. RNAcentral's name for it is "partial 16S ribosomal RNA". It matches the Rfam family "Bacterial small subunit ribosomal RNA", at positions 28 to 507 of the family's 1533-position model. The record is from RNAcentral.